RNAcentral lists this ribosomal RNA (749 nucleotides) under uncultured organism. RNAcentral's name for it is "bacterial SSU rRNA". It matches the Rfam family "Bacterial small subunit ribosomal RNA", at positions 50 to 845 of the family's 1533-position model. The record is from RNAcentral.
AAUACAUACAAGUCGAACGAGACUUCGGUCUAGUGGCGGACGAGUGAGUAACACGUUGGAACCUGCCCCGAACUCAGGGAUAAGCACUGGAAACGGUGUCUAAUACCGGAUAGUCCCGCAAGGGUAAAGAUUUUUCGGUUCGGGAGGGGCCUGCGGCCUAUCAGCUUGUUGGUAAGGUAAUGGCUUACCAAGGCUAUGACGGGUAGAUGGUCUGAGAGGAUGAUCAUUCACGAUGGAACUGAGACACGGUCCAUACUCCUACGGGAGGCAGCAGUAGGGAAUCUUCCGCAAUGGGCGAAAGCCUGACGGAGCAACACCGCGUGGUUGAUGACGCCCCUUGGGGUGUAAAGACCUUUUCUGAGGGAAGAAUUAUGACGGUACCUUAGGAAUAAGCACCGGCUAAUUACGUGCCAGCAGCCGCGGUAAUACGUAAGGUGCAAGCGUUAUCCGGAAUCAUUGGGCGUAAAGCGUCUGCAAGUUGUUUAUUAAGUCAGACAUUAAAGACGGCAGCUCAACUGUCGGGCCGUGCCUGAAACUGGUAAGCUAGAGUCAUACAGAGGUACGUGGAAUUCUGCAUGUAGGGGUAAAAUCCGUUGAUAUGCAGAGGAACACCAAAAGCGAAAGCAGCGUACUGGGUAUGUACUGACACUCAGAGACGAAAGCAUGGGUAGCGAACGGGAUUAGAUACCCCGGUAGUCCAUGCCGUAAACGAUGAUCACUCGAUGUUAGACUUUUCAAUCGGUCUAGUG